GUCUGCAUGGCUCAGUUGGUUAGAGCGCCGGUCUCAUACGUUCGUAUGAACCUCCCUUGCGAGGUGUAAUCCGGAGAUCGCCAGUUCGAUCCUGGCUGCGGACA
RNAcentral lists this transfer RNA (104 nucleotides) under Schizophyllum commune. RNAcentral's name for it is "tRNA-Met". It matches the Rfam family "tRNA". From Rfam's summary of the family: Transfer RNA (tRNA) molecules are approximately 80 nucleotides in length. Their secondary structure includes four short double-helical elements and three loops (D, anti-codon, and T loops). Further hydrogen bonds mediate the characteristic L-shaped molecular structure. tRNAs have two regions of fundamental functional importance: the anti-codon, which is responsible for specific mRNA codon recognition, and the 3' end, to which the tRNAs corresponding amino acid is attached (by aminoacyl-tRNA synthetases). tRNAs cope with the degeneracy of the genetic code in two manners: having more than one tRNA (with a specific anti-codon) for a particular amino acid; and 'wobble' base-pairing, i.e. permitting non-standard base-pairing at the 3rd anti-codon position. Lineage: Eukaryota; Fungi; Basidiomycota; Agaricomycetes; Agaricales; Schizophyllaceae. The record is from RNAcentral. RNAcentral also lists the same sequence under 1 other name.